Molecule: ribosomal RNA, 427 nt
Filed under: uncultured bacterium
Lineage: Bacteria
Description: partial 16S ribosomal RNA
Rfam family: Bacterial small subunit ribosomal RNA
Source: RNAcentral
UGGGGAAUAUUGCACAAUGGGCGCAAGCCUGAUGCAGCCAUGCCGCGUGUAUGAAGAAGGCCUUCGGGUUGUAAAGUACUUUCAGCGAGGAGGAAGGCGGUAAGGUUAAUAACCUUAUCGAUUGACGUUACUCGCAGAAGAAGCACCGGCUAACUCCGUGCCAGCAGCCGCGGUAAUACGGAGGGCGCAAGCGUUAAUCGGAAUUACUGGGCGUAAAGCGCACGCAGGCGGUCUGUCACGUCGGAUGUGAAAUCCCCGGGCUCAACCUGGGAACUGCAUUCGAAACUGGCAGGCUAGAGUCUUGUAGAGGGGGGUAGAAUUCCAGGUGUAGCGGUGAAAUGCGUAGAGAUCUGGAGGAAUACCGGUGGCGAAGGCGGCCCCCUGGACAAAGACUGACGCUCAGGUGCGAAAGCGUGGGGAGCAAACA